UACGGAGGAUCCAAGCGUUAUCCGGAUUCACUGGGUUUAAAGGGUGCGUAGGUGGAAUGACAAGUCAGUGGUGAAACCCUGCAGCUUAACUGUAGAACUGCCAUUGAUACUGUUAUUCUUGAGUACAUUUGAUGUGAGUGGAAUGUGUCGUGUAGCGGUGAAAUGCUUAGAUAUGACACAGAACACCAAUUGCGAAGGCAGCUCACAAAACUGUAACUGACACUGAGGCACGAAAGCGUGGGGAUCAAACAGG
Molecule: ribosomal RNA, 253 nt
Filed under: uncultured bacterium
Lineage: Bacteria
Description: partial 16S ribosomal RNA
Rfam family: Bacterial small subunit ribosomal RNA
Source: RNAcentral